This 460-nucleotide ribosomal RNA is filed under the name uncultured bacterium. RNAcentral describes it as "partial 16S ribosomal RNA". It matches the Rfam family "Bacterial small subunit ribosomal RNA", at positions 338 to 795 of the family's 1533-position model. The record is from RNAcentral.
CCUACGGGAGGCAGCAGUGAGGAAUAUUGGUCAAUGGACGAGAGUCUGAACCAGCCAAGUAGCGUGAAGGAUGACUGCCCUGUGGGUUGUAAACUUCUUUUAUAUGGGAAUAAAAUGUUCCACGUGUGGGAUUUUGUAUGUACCAUAUGAAUAAGGAUCGGCUAACUCCGUGCCAGCAGCCGCGGUAAUACGGAGGAUCCGAGCGUUAUCCGGAUUUAUUGGGUUUAAAGGGAGCGUAGGUGGAUUGUUAAGUCAGUUGUGAAAGUUUGCGGCUCAACCGUAAAAUCGCAGUUGAAACUGGCAGUCUGGAGUACAGGAGAGGUGGGCGGAAUUCGCGGUGUAGCGGUGAAAUGCGUAGAUAUCACGAAGAACUCCGAUUGCGAAGGCAGCUCACUGGAUUGAAACUGACACUGAGGCUCGAAAGUGUGGGUAUCAAACAGGAUUAGAUACCCUAGUAGUC